Molecule: ribosomal RNA, 524 nt
Filed under: uncultured bacterium
Lineage: Bacteria
Description: partial 16S ribosomal RNA
Rfam family: Bacterial small subunit ribosomal RNA
Source: RNAcentral
UGGGGAAUUUUGGACAAUGGGCGAAAGCCUGAUCCAGCAAUGCCGCGUGUGUGAAGAAGGCCUUCGGGUUGUAAAGCACUUUUGUCCGGAAAGAAAUCCUUGGCUCUAAUACAGUCGGGGGAUGACGGUACCGGAAGAAUAAGCACCGGCUAACUACGUGCCAGCAGCCGCGGUAAUACGUAGGGUGCAAGCGUUAAUCGGAAUUACUGGGCGUAAAGCGUGCGCAGGCGGUUUGCUAAGACCGAUGUGAAAUCCCCGGGCUCAACCUGGGAACUGCAUUGGUGACUGGCAGGCUAGAGUAUGGCAGAGGGGGGUAGAAUUCCACGUGUAGCAGUGAAAUGCGUAGAGAUGUGGAGGAAUACCGAUGGCGAAGGCAGCCCCCUGGGCCAAAUACUGACGCUCAUGCACGAAAGCGUGGGGAGCAAACAGGAUUAGAUACCCUGGUAGUCCACGCCCUAAACGAUGUCAACUAGUUGUUGGGGAUUCAUUUCCUUAGUAACGUAGCUAACGCGUGAAGUUGACCG